RNAcentral lists this ribosomal RNA (494 nucleotides) under uncultured bacterium. Its description in RNAcentral is "partial 16S ribosomal RNA". It matches the Rfam family "Bacterial small subunit ribosomal RNA", at positions 28 to 507 of the family's 1533-position model. The record is from RNAcentral.
GACGAACGCUGGCGGCGUGCUUAACACAUGCAAGUCGAACGGAAAGGCCUGUCCUUCCUUGUGUUGGACGGGUGCUCGAGUGGCGAACGGGUGAGUAACACGUGAGUGAUCUGCCCCCAACUUGGGUAUAAGCCUGGGAAACUGGGUCUAAUUCCCGAUAGAACUGCAGGGUGGUGCCUGUGGUGGAAAACGAUUUUCUAGUGGUUGGGGAUGAGCUCGCGGCCUAUCAGCUUGUUGGUGGGGUAAUGGCCUACCAAGGCGGCGACGGGUAGCCGGCCUGAGAGGGUGGACGGCCACAUUGGGACUGAGAUACGGCCCAGACUCCUACGGGAGGCAGCAGUGGGGAAUAUUGCACAAUGGGCGGAAGCCUGAUGCAGCGACGCCGCGUGGGGGAUGACGGCCUUCGGGUUGUAAACUCCUUUCGACCGCGAGGAAGCCGCCUGGUUGGAAGGGUGGUGACGGUAGUGGUAGAAGAAGCACCGGCUAACUACGUG